AGCAGCCGCGGUAAUUCCAGCUCCAAUAGCGUAUAUUAAAGUUGUUGCAGUUAAAAAGCUCGUAGGUGAAUUUCGGGAUCAAUAUGCCGGUCAUGCCUUGGUAUGCACUGGUAUCUUUGAUUUCUCCCUUCUGACGAACUUUGAUGUCAUUAAUUUGGUGUCAUAGGGAAUCAGGACUGUUACUUUGAAAAAUUAGAGUGUUUAAAAGCAAGCUCACGCUUGAAUACAUUAGCAUGGAAUAAUGAAAUAGGACGUUUGAUUCUAUUUUGUUGGUUUCUAGGAUCGACGUAAUGAUUAAUAGGGAUAGUUGGGGGCAUUAGUAUUCAAUUGUCAGAGGUGAAAUUCUUGGAUUUAUUGAAGACUAACUACUGCGAAAGCAUUUGCCAAGGAUGUUUUCAUUAAUCAAGAACGAAAGUUAGGGGAUCGAAGACGAUCAGAUACCGUCGUAGUCUUAACCAUAAACUAUGCCGACUAGGGAUCGGAUGAUGUUAAUUUUUAANGA
This 502-nucleotide ribosomal RNA is filed under the name uncultured Glomus. RNAcentral's name for it is "SSU rRNA". It matches the Rfam family "Eukaryotic small subunit ribosomal RNA", at positions 569 to 1074 of the family's 1831-position model. The record is from RNAcentral. Lineage: Eukaryota; Fungi; Glomeromycota; Glomeromycetes; Glomerales; Glomeraceae.